AAACCAACCGGGAUUGCCUUAGUAGCGGCGAGUGAAGCGGCAAGAGCUCAAAUUUGAAAUCUAGCGCCUUCGGUGCUCGAGUUGUAAUUUGUAGAGUGGAUCCUUGGGGCCGUUCCUUGCCUAUGUUCCUUGGAACAGGACGUCAUGGAGGGUGAGAACCCCGUGUGGCGAGGGGUGCGGUUCCGUGUAAGGGCUGCUCGAAGAGUCGAGUUGUUUGGGAAUGCAGCUCUAAGUGGGUGGUAAAUUCCAUCUAAAGCUAAAUACUGGCGAGAGACCGAUAGCGAACAAGUACAGUGAUGGAAAGAUGAAAAGAACUUUGAAAAGAGAGUGAAAAAGUACGUGAAAUUGUUGAAAGGGAAGGGCAUUUGAUCAGACAUGGUGUUUUGCGCCCCCUGCUCCUUGUGGGUGGGGGACUCUCGCAGCUCACUGGGCCAGCAUCAGUUUUGGCGGCUGGACAAAGCCGGAGGAAUGUGGCUUCCCUCGGGAAGUGUUAUAGCCUACGGGAAUACAGCCAGCUGGGACUGAGGAACGCGACUUUUGUCAAGGAUGCUGGCAUAAUGGUUAUAUGCCGC
Molecule: ribosomal RNA, 572 nt
Filed under: Arxiozyma heterogenica
Lineage: Eukaryota; Fungi; Ascomycota; Saccharomycetes; Saccharomycetales; Saccharomycetaceae
Description: eukaryotic LSU rRNA
Rfam family: Eukaryotic large subunit ribosomal RNA
Source: RNAcentral